CUGUAUUUCUGUGGUUUCAUGGGAAAAGAAAUGUAAAAACAUUAUUUCAAGGAUUUUACAGAUGAACCAACACAUCAUAGAGUAAGGAGUAAAGUGGUAUUAGACAUUAUUGUAGACAACUUGACAUAGAGUAAAGAAUAAAUAUAAACAAUCCUAGGUAUAUAAUUAGGUACCUACAGAACUACAGGAAAAGGUUAUUUCGUAUAAAAAAAGUAAUAGACGAGUUUUCUUAUUCAAAAUGUUCCGCUUACCACUUGGCGAAAGGGUUGAUCCCUUAGAAGAAAAACGUCAAGCAAGGGAAAAUACAAUCAACAGCGUUCUGACAUUUUGUGUGCUUUGUGCUGCUAUAAGACUCGCGCCAGUUAUCAUCGAAUAUAGUGGAUUUUAGUUUAAGAAGAACUGCCGUGUAGUGUAAUACUAAUUUAUUGUUUUUAAUUAUAAAAUGUCAUCUGCUGGUUGUUUAGUUGCAAACUUCAGAAUGUGAAAGUGCUUAUGAGAACUUCAAGAAUAAAAUGAAUGCUAACUGAAAAUGUAAAUAAAUAAUUUCUAUUGUAAA
This is a long non-coding RNA of Melitaea cinxia (Glanville fritillary), 556 nucleotides long. RefSeq lists it as uncharacterized. The transcript has 2 exons. NCBI's taxonomy places the organism in Eukaryota, Metazoa, Arthropoda, Insecta, Lepidoptera, Nymphalidae. The record is from RefSeq and is a predicted model, not a curated record.